This 272-nucleotide ribosomal RNA is filed under the name uncultured Staphylococcus sp. RNAcentral describes it as "partial 16S ribosomal RNA". It matches the Rfam family "Bacterial small subunit ribosomal RNA", at positions 90 to 355 of the family's 1533-position model. Lineage: Bacteria; Bacillati; Bacillota; Bacilli; Caryophanales; Staphylococcaceae. The record is from RNAcentral.
CGUUAGCGGCGGACGGGUGAGUAACACGUGGGUAACCUACCUAUAAGACUGGGACAACUUCGGGAAACCGGAGCUAAUACCGGAUAAGAUAUCGAACCGCAUGGUUCGAUAGUGAAAGAUGGUUUUGCUAUCACUUAUANAUGGACCCGCGCCGUAUUAGCUAGUUGGUGAGGUAACGGCUCACCAAGGCAACGAUACGUAGCCGACCUGAGAGGGUGAUCGGCCACACUGGAACUGAGACACGGUCCAGACUCCUACGGGAGGCAGCAGUU